Molecule: ribosomal RNA, 253 nt
Filed under: uncultured bacterium
Lineage: Bacteria
Description: partial 16S ribosomal RNA
Rfam family: Bacterial small subunit ribosomal RNA
Source: RNAcentral
UACGGGGGGGGCAAGCGUUGUUCGGAAUUACUGGGCGUAAAGGGUUCGUAGGUGGCCUGCUAAGUCGGACGUGAAAUCCCUCGGCUCAACCGGGGAACUGCGUCCGAUACUGGUGGGCUCGAGUGCAGGAGAGGAACGCGGAAUUCCAGGUGUAGCGGUGAAAUGCGUAGAUAUCUGGAGGAACACCGGUGGCGAAGGCGGCGUUCUGGACUGCAACUGACACUGAGGAACGAAAGCCAGGGGAGCAAACGGG